CCUACGGGAGGCAGCAGUGGGGAAUAUUGCACAAUGGGCGAAACUCUGAUGCAGCGACGCCGCGUGAGUGAAGACGUAUUUCGGUAUGUAAAGCUCUAUCAGCAGGGAAGAGAAUGACGGUACCUGAGUAAGAAGCCCCGGCUAACUACGUGCCAGCAGCCGCGGUAAUAUGUAGGCGGCAAGCGUUAUCCGGAUUUACUGGGUGUAAAGGGAGCGUAGACGGCGAAGAAAGUCUGAAGUGAAAGCCCGCGGCUCAACCGCGGAACUGCUUUGGAAACUUUUUGGCUGGAGUACCGGAGAGGUAAGCGGAAUUCGUAGUGUAGCGGUGAAAUGCGUAGAUAUUAGGAGGAACACCAGUGGCGAAGGCGGCUUACUGGACGGUAACUGACGUUGAGGCUCGAAAGCGUGGGGAGCAAACAGGAUUAGAUACCCCUGUAGUC
RNAcentral lists this ribosomal RNA (440 nucleotides) under uncultured bacterium. RNAcentral's name for it is "partial 16S ribosomal RNA". It matches the Rfam family "Bacterial small subunit ribosomal RNA", at positions 338 to 795 of the family's 1533-position model. The record is from RNAcentral.